Long non-coding RNA from Musa acuminata AAA Group (dessert banana), 1087 nucleotides. RefSeq lists it as uncharacterized. Lineage: Eukaryota; Viridiplantae; Streptophyta; Magnoliopsida; Zingiberales; Musaceae. The record is from RefSeq and is a predicted model, not a curated record. The transcript has 2 exons.
AACAGAAGUAGAGACACAAAGUACACUUGAAUUAGUUGAAUAUAAGUUAGGAAGUCAAAAUUCAAAUCAAAUUUGAAUCAAGAAGUCAGUCAAAAUGAAUGAAGAGCAUAGAUGUGAGAUGUGAAGAGCAACAGAAGAGUGCUUGUUGGGCCCCAUGCCCAAGCUCAAGAGAAGACCUGCAAAUCUAAUUUGGCACCAUAAAAAGGCCCAUUAUAGGGUGUUGCCCAUUUAAGUCGGCUCUGAAUAAGCGCCCGCUUCUUCCUCACCAUCUGCCAUCUUCCUCCCCUAUAGGGUGUCGCCGUCUACCAUCUUCUCCACAAGUCGACGGCAAACGCCACCCAUCACUGCUGUUACUCUAUCGGCGUACCCACGGUGGUCGUCCCUCUGCCCGCGCCUGCGUGUUUCUCUCGCGCCCACCCAUCUGCAAGCGGAUCCACUGUGGUCGCCCGUGUUUCAGAUUAUUGCCUCUUCUCUGUCGAUUGCCGCUCUCUUAGCUGAUUCCAAUGCGUAGAGAGUGAAUCAGGUCUUUCUCGGAAAUUCGCUGGAUAGAUAGAGAUAGAUUGACAAAGACAGUGUUAUAGAGAGAGAGAGAGAGAGAGAGAGAGAGAGAGAGAGAAAGAGAGAGAAAGAGAGAGGCAAUAGAACAAACAUCAACGUCUGCAUUUGUUAGAUCAGAACAAAAAUCUCAUUGAGUGUCGCAACGAUGUUAUCAUAGCACUCUUGAACUCGGCGAGCAUCUUUGUCUCUGGCAGCAUAAUCCAGCUGCAGCACAAACGAUAAAGAUUUCAAGCUUCAUUUGCGAAGCUGGAGCAUACCGAGAGCGUGAAGACAAUGGACUCACACUUGAGACAUCGUUGAAGAGGUGAGAGUAGAGCUUCCUCAGCUGUGGCCGCUGGCUUCCCGGCUUUGCUUGGAUGAUCGUGUAGAGAUCCUGCUUCAGAUACGACGAGCUCUCGCGAAGCGCGAUCUGGGCUUCUCUCCAUGACUGCGAAUCGAUCAAAGCCUUUAUCCGCACCAGAUCUCUUGCAUGGAUCUUCACCACCGCGUCUGCUUCUUCGGGUGUCUGUUCCGGAGCGGUGAAUCUGAA